Molecule: non-coding RNA, 69 nt
Organism: Ictidomys tridecemlineatus (thirteen-lined ground squirrel)
Lineage: Eukaryota; Metazoa; Chordata; Mammalia; Rodentia; Sciuridae
Source: Rfam
GGGGUUGUGGCUCAGCAGUGGAGCGCUCGCCUAGCACGUGUGAGGCCCUGGGUUCAAUCCUCAGCACCA